ACUGUUCGCCAGAGAACUACGAGCGAAAAACUUAAAACUCUAAGGACUUGGCGGUGCCCCACACCAGCCUAGAGGAGCCUGUCCUAUAAUCGAUACUCCGCGUUAAACCUUACCCCCUCUUGUAAACCCAGCCUAUAUACCGCCGUCGACAGCUCACCUUGUGAAAGACACUUAGUGGGCACAACAAUUAUCAACUAAUACGUCAGGUCAAGGUGUAGCACACGAGGGGGCAGAGAUGGGCUACAUUUCCUCUAACAGGAAACACGCACGACAUGCUGAAACACAUGCCCAAAGGCGGAUUUAGCAGUAAGACAGAUAAGAAGACCUGUCUCAAACCUGCUCUGGGGCGCGCACACACCGCCCGU
This 365-nucleotide ribosomal RNA is filed under the name Ablepharus kitaibelii. Its description in RNAcentral is "partial small subunit ribosomal RNA". It matches the Rfam family "Bacterial small subunit ribosomal RNA", at positions 864 to 1397 of the family's 1533-position model. The record is from RNAcentral. Lineage: Eukaryota; Metazoa; Chordata; Lepidosauria; Squamata; Scincidae.